GUAGGUGGCAAGCGUUGUCGGGAAUUAUUGGGGCGUAAAGCGCGCGCAGGCGGUUCUUUAAGUCUGAUGUGAAAGCCCACGGGCUCAACCGUGGAGGGUCAUUGGAAACUGGAGAACUUGAGUACAGAAGAGGAAAGCGGAAUUCCACGUGUAGCGGUGAAAUGCGUAGAGAUGUGGAGGAACACCAGUGGCGAAGGCGGCUUUCUGGUCUGUAACUGACGCUGAGGCGCGAAAGCGUGGGGAGCAAACAGGAUUAGAUACCCUGGUAGUCCACGCCGUAAACGAUGAGUGCUAAGUGUUAGGGGGUUUCCGCCCCUUAGUGCUGCAGCUAACGCAUUAAGCACUCCGCCUGGGGAGUACGGCCGCAAAGGCUG
RNAcentral lists this ribosomal RNA (374 nucleotides) under uncultured organism. Its description in RNAcentral is "partial 16S ribosomal RNA". It matches the Rfam family "Bacterial small subunit ribosomal RNA", at positions 527 to 896 of the family's 1533-position model. The record is from RNAcentral.